CAAUGUUUCUAUGAAUGUAAGGACACGAUCUUAGUAUUGAAUCAACUGUACAAUUUCUGUUGAAAGGAGAUUGAGAUGACGAGUAACUAUUUUUUGUUCUGUAAAUGUACUUUUUUGAAAGAAAUGUCUAUUUGUCUUUUUAUUGUGAUUUAAAGGUAGACCAUCCUAUAAGGAGAAUUUCAAAAAUUAAACAACUCAUCAUAGAUACCAGGCUUUAAAUUAG
Molecule: long non-coding RNA, 223 nt
Filed under: Mytilus galloprovincialis (Mediterranean mussel)
Lineage: Eukaryota; Metazoa; Mollusca; Bivalvia; Mytilida; Mytilidae
Source: RNAcentral